Molecule: non-coding RNA, 26 nt
Filed under: Rattus norvegicus (Norway rat)
Lineage: Eukaryota; Metazoa; Chordata; Mammalia; Rodentia; Muridae
Source: RNAcentral
UAAAGACUCAGGAAUGGAAGAUGUCC